Molecule: small nuclear RNA, 106 nt
Organism: Myotis lucifugus (little brown bat)
Lineage: Eukaryota; Metazoa; Chordata; Mammalia; Chiroptera; Vespertilionidae
Source: Ensembl
AUGCUCGCUUCAGUAGCACAUAUACUAAAAUUGGAUGAUACCGAGAAGAUUAGCGUGGCCCCUGCACAAGGGUGACAUGCAAAUUCAUAAAGUGUUCCAUAUUUUU